This is a long non-coding RNA of Poecilia latipinna (sailfin molly), 1987 nucleotides long. RefSeq lists it as uncharacterized. NCBI's taxonomy places the organism in Eukaryota, Metazoa, Chordata, Actinopteri, Cyprinodontiformes, Poeciliidae. The record is from RefSeq and is a predicted model, not a curated record. The transcript is spliced from 3 exons.
UUUGUGUUUGUGGGAGUAGGACACAGGAAAGGAAGGACAAUUUGAAGGAAAAAAAAUAUAGGAUUCAAGGAAGAAACGAAGGAAGCCAGGAGUGAAAGAAAAUAAAAGAAACAACCCGAGUGAGGACAUCAGGGAGGGACGAAGGACAGAAGGACGUGAGGACAUUGGAGCAGGAAACUCGUCCUGUGAAGGAAGCGUGCUUCAUUUUUCAGGAGGCGGCUGAAGCGAUGUGCAGCCAUGGAUGAGCUGAUGUGAACCCGCUCACUCCUUCCCCACCGCGAAGGAGGAAGAAGAAACUAAAUAUGUCAUGAGCUGCGAGAAGAUUCACAAAACAUCCGCAAACACACACGCACGCGCACACACACACACACACACACACACACACACGCACGCACACACGCACACAUACAGAUAAACUGGAGAGAUAAUUGGAGCCGAUGCACAGCUGGGAGACAAAGGCUGCCGUCAUGAGAACAAGGACCGCCUGAUGAGGCCGCCAUCUUUAAACCCUCAGGAUGAGGCGAGAGCGCCGGUCGAUGAGACGCUGCAGGAGGCGAUGUUCGAUUUCAUCAUUAAUGCUCCUGACAAGAGUGUUAAGGCGAGGCUACGACGAAAAUGACCAGAUUACGAGAAUAAAGUAGGAGGAAUACAAGAAUAAAGUCGUAUUACAAGAAUUUUGUUGAAAUAUAACAAAAAAUAAGAGAAUAAAGUCGCAUUACGAAAGUAAAAUUAUAAUAUGAGAAUAAAGCCGAACGAAAAUAAAAUCAAAAUGAUGCAAGUCAUAAUAUCACGAGAAACUAGAAACGUUGUGCAAAAAGUAAAAUACGAAAUAAGUCAAAUUACGAGAGUUAAGUCGUACAAAAAUAAAAUCAAAAAGACAACAAAUUAAUAUCAUUACAUUAUAUUUGAAAUAUUAACAUUCAACAACUUGUUUAGAGAAGCUUGUCAACUAAUAAGCAAUUUCUCCUUAUUAGAAGAUCAAUAAGGAAUAUUCUGCUCUAUUACAGGAAUAAAAUAGAAAUUGUGCCAGAAUAAUGUUGCAAUAUCAUAAACAAGUUAUUUCAAACAUGUAAAAAUAUAUUUUUUGUGUUUUCAGUAAAAACACUCAAGUUUUAUAGCAAACAAAAGGCAAAAUGUCUCAGCAUUUAUUUACCAAAACCUCCAUAAAUUUGCUUCAGUUUCCAUCUUUACCCAGAUAAUCUCCACAAGCGAAUCUAUGGCUUCUAAAAGUUUGCAGCCUUAUUUUUUAUCUUUCUGAACAAUUUAAAUGCUGUUUGAUGCAAGAGAGACAAAAAAUAUCCAGAUUAUUUCCUGUUUUAUCCUGAUUUUCUCUGAAGCAGCUGCUGCGAUCCUGAGGGUUUACUGAAGCAGAGUUUGUAAUCACUGAGGGAAACUAAAUUAGAUUUAUCUUAAACACAAACUUCAGGUUGGAUGAGGCAGAGAGGAGACAUAAAAGCAGCCAGAUUACAGAUUAAAAUCAGAAAUUCAUUCUUGGUGUCGAUCGGAUCAGGCCGAUGUCGGCUGAGUCACCGGUUUGAAGGCGGAUCUCCUCCGCUGGGAGUGGAAAACAGGAAUGAGAGGGGAGUAUCAGGGAGCUGGGAUUAGUAGCUUUCUCCUGGCAAAUCCAUGAGCCGCCUGCGCUUCUUGUUGCUAAGAGGAUUCAGAAGAACGACCCAACGACGGGAGCGACGCUUUGGGCUCUAAUCUACUGAUUCAGGAGGCGGAGAGGCCGAUUCUGCGCUGCUGCAGAACAAGCCAAGACCAGGAACAGGAACCCUAAACAUGGAGGACAGGGGCGCUCCGAUCGCAGAUUACCGAUCUGAAAAAACCCCACCUGCCAAUGUUACGACUUCUCAGGAAUAAACUCAAGAAAUUAUGAGAAUAAAACUCGUGUUUAAAGUCAUAAACUUAUGAGAAUAAAGUCAUAAAACUGUUGCCAUUGAUGCACCAAAGCAUAACCUCUGACCUUUUGUAAGAUUGUAUUAAA